This 530-nucleotide long non-coding RNA is filed under the name Monodelphis domestica (gray short-tailed opossum). RNAcentral describes it as "lncRNA (ENSMODG00000033395.2)". Lineage: Eukaryota; Metazoa; Chordata; Mammalia; Didelphimorphia; Didelphidae. The record is from RNAcentral.
CCCAAUCAAAGGGCAUCCCCUCAUUUUUCAAUUCCCUUUGUGGUUUCUAACUAACUGAGCAAUCCAUAGCCCCAUUAUUGAUGUCAUCAAUGACAUCAUGCGAAUGUCUGCCAUCAAUAUUGCAGCCCACAGAUUGAGCUGUUCCAACUAUCUCUUUAAUGGUUCCAAGAGAGGUCUCUUGCCAGGGAUAGGGGUUUCUUCUAGGGCUUUUAUGAUCAGGGCCAAGGCAGAAGGCACUACCUCAAUCUAGGCUUAUCUAUUCUGAAUGGUAAACCCUGGAACAUAAGCACUAAAUUCCACAAAUGCAUGAUAUUUGGUCUCCAAAAUCAGGAUAUGAAUUAACCUCAAAGUCAGGAGACCCACAUCUAUAUACCUACUUCCAGGAAGACUGGGAAGUUUUUCCAUGGAGAAAGAAAGAAAGAGAGAAAGUGCCAGAAGAAGAGACCCAGCUAAAGACAAUGGAGAUUUUGGUCCUUAACAGGAAGGAGAAAAGAUAAUAACUCGACUAAAUAAAGACAACCAUUGAGGCA